This 424-nucleotide ribosomal RNA is filed under the name uncultured prokaryote. Its description in RNAcentral is "bacterial SSU rRNA". It matches the Rfam family "Bacterial small subunit ribosomal RNA", at positions 355 to 796 of the family's 1533-position model. The record is from RNAcentral.
CAAGGAAUUUUCCGCAAUGGGCGCAAGCCUGACGGAGCAACGCCGCGUGCAGGAAGACGGCCUUCGGGUUGUAAACUGCUUUUGUUGGGGAAGAUACGGACGGUACCCAACGAAUCAGCCCCGGCUAACUCUGUGCCAGCAGCCGCGGUAAUACAGAGGGGGCAAGCGUUGUCCGGACUUACUGGGCGUAAAGCGCACGCAGGUGGUAGCGCAAGUGGGGUGUGAAAGCCGCCAGCUCAACUGGCGGAGGCCAUCCCAAACUGCGUCACUUGAGGCCUGUAGAGGUAUGUGGAAUUGCCGGUGUAGUGGUGAAAUGCGUAGAGAUCGGCAGGAACACCCAGGGGGAAACCAGCAUACUGGACAGGACCUGACACUCAGGUGCGACAGCGUGGGGAGCGAACCGGAUUAGAUACCCGCGUAGUCC